CAAUAGCGUAUAUUAAAGUUGUUGCAGUUAAAAAGCUCGUAGUUGGAUUUGUGGUUCGUCCCGCCGGCGGGGUCAUUGACUUUUGCUGUGCUGGUCGUCCAUCCUUGGGUGGAAUCUGUGUGGCAUUAGGUUGUCGCGCAGGGGAUGCCCAUCGUUUACUGUGAAAAAAUUAGAGUGUUCAAAGCAGGCUUAUGCCGUUGAAUAUAUUAGCAUGGAAUAAUGAUAUAGGACCUUGGUACUAUUUUGUUGGUUUGCGCAUCGAGGUAAUGAUUAAUAGGGACAGUUGGGGGUAUUCGUAUUCCAUUGUAAGAGGUGAAAUUCUUGGAUUUUUGGAAGACGAACUACUGCGAAAGCAUUUACCAAGGAUGUUUNCAUUAA
This 378-nucleotide ribosomal RNA is filed under the name uncultured eukaryote. Its description in RNAcentral is "partial 18S ribosomal RNA". It matches the Rfam family "Eukaryotic small subunit ribosomal RNA", at positions 592 to 976 of the family's 1831-position model. The record is from RNAcentral.